AUGGAAGCCACUCAGCCAGUUCCAUGUAGUUCAGCCCCCCCCCCCCACCGGCUGACAGUCCUCAGAGGCCUUUCACUGAGGAGGCAGCUUGGGAAACUGGGAGCAUCGAACUCGCUCCUCUGGUGCACAAGGCCCUUUGAUGCUAGCCCCCAACAUGAAGGAGAAGCCACCAGUGCCCCAGGAGGACCUCGCCCUGCAGACCGUCCUGGCCCCUCUGCUGCCAAAAACCUGGACUUCCUGCCAGACUCAGCUCCACUCCUUUCUAUGAGAAGCCUUUCCACAAGUAAUUCCCUAACCGCAAGGAACGAAGCUUCCCCUCAUGUUGCUUUGUAUCUAUUUGUAUAUAACUUGAAUAUAUCUCAUUUUCUUUUGUAUUACUUUGUAUCUAUUUGUAUAUAACUUGAAUAUAUCUCAUUUUCUUUUGUAUUACUUUGUAUCUAUUUGUAUAUACUGUAAACUGUCUGGGGCUCCCUUUGUAUUACUUUGUAUCUAUUUGUAUGUAUCUAGUUCUUUGGUGUUACUUUGUAUCUAUUUUAUAUAUACUUUGAAUUAUCUAGGUCUCCCUUUGUGUUAUUUUGUAUUUCUUUUGUGUGGGGGGGGGUGUUAUAUUUCUAAUUCUUAGCAUGGUUAUUGUCCUCUUAAAACAUAAGUUGCUCGAAGGCAGGGAGCCUCUUACCCUUGAGUUUGUGUAUCCCCAGCAAUACGUGGCACAUAGUAGGUGUUGUGGGUGGAUGGGUGGUUCCACCAGAGCAACUUUCAAAAGUUAUUUACAGGGACAGCUAAGGAGCACAAUGGAGAGAAGGGAGGGUUUGGGGCUUUGCUCUUGUUGUUAUCUACAAUAUGCUCAAUCCAUAGUCUAUUCCUUAUAAUAUUAAAGCACUCUUGCUAUUAUUCCUAUCAUUAUGUUAAUAAUAAUAACCUUCCAUUAAGUGUUUGUGAAAAGACAUAAAGAAAAGAGAAAAAUAGCCUGGGAAGGUAAGGCAUAAAUGUCUAGAAAUUCACCUCAAUGAAGACUCAGACUCGGAAGGGACCUCGGAUACUGUUUGGUCAACCCCUUCAUUUUCCUGAUGAGGAAACUGAGGCCAAGAGGCAUUGUAGCUUAUCACAGAUUGGUUAGGUGGUCGGUAGUAGAGUUGGUGCCUAGGCUUUCUGGUGCCAAAGCUAGCAUUCUGAAUUGUGCUGCCCACUGUACUUUCCUGCCUUCUACUAGCUUCUGACACAUGAUUUUAUGCUCUUUACACUAGGAAGGGGGGACCUGUCCUGAGGAAAACAUAUGGAACUAUGUAAUAUAUAAUUAUAUAUUAUGACAAUGUAAUUAAUAUAUGAUACAAUAUAACAUGAUAUGAUAUGAUAUGAUAUAAUAAUAUAUGGUUAUUAUCAACUACCCCUUCUCAGAUAU
This 1399-nucleotide long non-coding RNA is filed under the name Monodelphis domestica (gray short-tailed opossum). RNAcentral's name for it is "lncRNA (ENSMODG00000046347.1)". Lineage: Eukaryota; Metazoa; Chordata; Mammalia; Didelphimorphia; Didelphidae. The record is from RNAcentral.